UGAUCCUGGCUCAGAACGAACGCUGGCGGCAGGCUUAACACAUGCAAGUCGAGCGCCCCGCAAGGGGAGCGGCAGACGGGUGAGUAACGCGUGGGAACGUACCAUUUGCUACGGAAUAACUCAGGGAAACUUGUGCUAAUACCGUAUGUGCCCUUCGGGGGAAAGAUUUAUCGGCAAAUGAUCGGCCCGCGUUGGAUUAGCUAGUUGGUGGGGUAAAGGCUCACCAAGGCGACGAUCCAUAGCUGGUCUGAGAGGAUGAUCAGCCACACUGGGACUGAGACACGGCCCAGACUCCUACGGGAGGCAGCAGUGGGGAAUAUUGGACAAUGGGCGCAAGCCUGAUCCAGCCAUGCCGCGUGAGUGAUGAAGGCCCUAG
This 376-nucleotide ribosomal RNA is filed under the name Brucella sp. Its description in RNAcentral is "bacterial SSU rRNA". It matches the Rfam family "Bacterial small subunit ribosomal RNA", at positions 14 to 420 of the family's 1533-position model. The record is from RNAcentral. Lineage: Bacteria; Pseudomonadati; Pseudomonadota; Alphaproteobacteria; Hyphomicrobiales; Brucellaceae.